GUGGGGUAGUAUCCUGCAAGUCUUA
RNAcentral lists this transfer RNA (25 nucleotides) under Uperoleia laevigata (smooth toadlet). RNAcentral's name for it is "partial tRNA-Ala". Lineage: Eukaryota; Metazoa; Chordata; Amphibia; Anura; Myobatrachidae. The record is from RNAcentral.